AUGUGAAGUCGCAGUAACCAUGAAAGGAAAAAAAUACCACCAAUUAAAAGGAAUGCCAGCACAAGGCUCUAAAAGUAGAAGAGGCAUACCAAAAGAGUAUAGACCAGUUCACACAGACAAAGGUGAAUGCAUUAAUGAUAGAAUGAUAAAAAAUUUAUUAGUGUAAUCAAUGACUAAGGUAACCUGUAAUAUAGUUAAUGCACAGUUAUCAGAAUAUGGAAGACAUGUGAAUUCACCUG
RNAcentral lists this unclassified non-coding RNA (239 nucleotides) under Hevea brasiliensis (rubber tree). The record is from RNAcentral. Lineage: Eukaryota; Viridiplantae; Streptophyta; Magnoliopsida; Malpighiales; Euphorbiaceae.